CGGACGGGUGUGUAAUGUCUGGGAAACUGCCCGAUGGAGGGGGAUAACUACUGGAAACGGUAGCUAAUACCGCAUAACGUCGCAAGACCAAAGAGGGGACCUUCGGGCCUCUUGCCAUCGGAUGUGCCCAGAUGGGAUUAGCUAGUAGGUGGGGUAACGGCUCACCUAGGCGACGAUCCCUAGCUGGUCUGAGAGGAUGACCAGCCACACUGGAACUGAGACACGGUCCAG
This 231-nucleotide ribosomal RNA is filed under the name uncultured bacterium. RNAcentral describes it as "partial 16S ribosomal RNA". It matches the Rfam family "Bacterial small subunit ribosomal RNA", at positions 99 to 334 of the family's 1533-position model. The record is from RNAcentral.